Molecule: ribosomal RNA, 253 nt
Filed under: uncultured bacterium
Lineage: Bacteria
Description: partial 16S ribosomal RNA
Rfam family: Bacterial small subunit ribosomal RNA
Source: RNAcentral
UACGUAGGGUGCGAGCGUUGUCCGGAAUUAUUGGGCGUAAAGAGCUCGUAGGCGGUUUGUUGCGUCGGCCGUGAAAACCUGCAGCUUAACUGUGGGCCUGCGGCCGAUACGGGCAGACUUGAGUUCGGUAGGGGAGACUGGAAUUCCUGGUGUAGCGGCGAAAUGCGCAGAUAUCAGGAGGAACACCGGUGGCGAAGGCGGGUCUCUGGGCCGAUACUGACGCUGAGGAGCGAAAGCUAGGGGAGCGAACGGG